This 2918-nucleotide ribosomal RNA is filed under the name Acinetobacter baumannii. RNAcentral's name for it is "23S ribosomal RNA". It matches the Rfam family "Bacterial large subunit ribosomal RNA". The record is from RNAcentral. Lineage: Bacteria; Pseudomonadati; Pseudomonadota; Gammaproteobacteria; Moraxellales; Moraxellaceae.
GUUGUAUAGUCAAGUAAUUAAGUGCAUGUGGUGGAUGCCUUGGCAGUCAGAGGCGAUGAAAGACGUGAUAGCCUGCGAAAAGCUCCGGGGAGGCGGCAAAUAUCCUUUGAUCCGGAGAUGUCUGAAUGGGGGAACCCACCUACUUUAAGGUAGGUAUCGCAACAUGAAUACAUAGUGUUGCAAGGCGAACGAGGGGAAGUGAAACAUCUCAGUACCCUUAGGAAAAGAAAUCAAUUGAGAUUCCCUCAGUAGCGGCGAGCGAACGGGGAUCAGCCCAUUAAGUUAUGUGUGUUUUAGUGGAACGCUCUGGGAAGUGCGAACGUAGAGGGUGAUAUUCCCGUACACGAAAGGGCACACAUAAUGAUGACGAGUAGGGCGAGGCACGUGAAACCUUGUCUGAAUAUGGGGGGACCAUCCUCCAAGGCUAAAUACUCCUGACUGACCGAUAGUGAACCAGUACCGUGAGGGAAAGGCGAAAAGAACCCCUGUGAGGGGAGUGAAAUAGAUCCUGAAACCGCAUGCAUACAAGCAGUGGGAGCACCUUCGUGGUGUGACUGCGUACCUUUUGUAUAAUGGGUCAGCGACUUAUAUUCAGUAGCGAGGUUAACCGUAUAGGGGAGCCGUAGAGAAAUCGAGUCUUAAUAGGGCGUUUAGUUGCUGGGUAUAGACCCGAAACCAGGCGAUCUAUCCAUGAGCAGGUUGAAGGUUGGGUAACACUAACUGGAGGACCGAACCCACUGUCGUUGAAAAGCCAGGGGAUGACUUGUGGAUAGGGGUGAAAGGCUAAUCAAGCCUGGUGAUAGCUGGUUCUCCCCGAAAGCUAUUUAGGUAGCGCCUCGGACGAAUACCAUAGGGGGUAGAGCACUGUUUCGGCUAGGGGGUCAUCCCGACUUACCAAACCGAUGCAAACUCCGAAUACCUAUGAGUACUAUCCGGGAGACAGACUGCGGGUGCUAACGUCCGUAGUCAAGAGGAAAACAAUCCAGACCGCCAGCUAAGGCCCCAAAAUCAUAGUUAAGUGGGAAACGAUGUGGGAAGGCAUAGACAGCUAGGAGGUUGGCUUAGAAGCAGCCACCCUUUAAAGAAAGCGUAAUAGCUCACUAGUCGAGUCGGCCUGCGCGGAAGAUGUAACGGGGCUAAAACUAUGUGCCGAAGCUGCGGAUGUAUACUUUGUAUACGUGGUAGGGGAGCGUUCUGUAAGCCGAUGAAGGUGUGUUGAGAAGCAUGCUGGAGGUAUCAGAAGUGCGAAUGCUGACGUGAGUAACGACAAAACGGGUGAAAAACCCGUUCGCCGAAAGACCAAGGGUUCCAGUCCAACGUUAAUCGGGGCUGGGUGAGUCGACCCCUAAGGCGAGGCCGAAAGGCGUAGUCGAUGGGAAAAUGGUUAAUAUUCCAUUACUUCUGUGUAAUGCGAUGAGAGGACGGAGAAGGCUAAAUCAGCCUGGCGUUGGUUGUCCAGGUGAAAGGAUGUAGGCAUGUAUCUUAGGCAAAUCCGGGGUACUCUAUGCUGAGAUCUGAUAGCAAGCUGUACUUGUACAGCGAAGUGGUUGAUGCCAUGCUUCCAGGAAAAGUCUCUAAGCUUCAGUUACACAGGAAUCGUACCCGAAACCGACACAGGUGGUCAGGUCGAGUAGACCAAGGCGCUUGAGAGAACUCUGCUGAAGGAACUAGGCAAAAUGGUACCGUAACUUCGGGAGAAGGUACGCUGUUGUUGGUGAUGGAACUCGCUUCCUGAGCUGACGACAGCCGCAGAAACCAGGCCGCUGCAACUGUUUAUUAAAAACAUAGCACUCUGCAAACACGAAAGUGGACGUAUAGGGUGUGAUGCCUGCCCGGUGCUGGAAGGUUAAUUGAUGGGGUUAGCGUAAGCGAAGCUCUUGAUCGAAGCCCCAGUAAACGGCGGCCGUAACUAUAACGGUCCUAAGGUAGCGAAAUUCCUUGUCGGGUAAGUUCCGACCUGCACGAAUGGCAUAAUGAUGGCGGCGCUGUCUCCAGCAGAGGCUCAGUGAAAUCGAAAUCGCUGUGAAGAUGCAGUGUACCCGCGGCUAGACGGAAAGACCCCGUGAACCUUUACUGCAGCUUGACACUGAACUUUGACCUUACUUGUGUAGGAUAGGUGGGAGGCUUUGAAGCUGGAACGCUAGUUCCAGUGGAGCCGUCCUUGAAAUACCACCCUGGUAAUGUUGAGGUUCUAACUCUGUCCCGUGAUCCGGGACGAGGACCGUGUCUGGUGGGUAGUUUGACUGGGGCGGUCUCCUCCUAAAGAGUAACGGAGGAGUACGAAGGUGCGCUCAGCGUGGUCGGAAAUCACGCGUAGAGUAUAAAGGCAAAAGCGCGCUUAACUGCGAGACCCACAAGUCGAGCAGGUACGAAAGUAGGUCUUAGUGAUCCGGUGGUUCUGUAUGGAAGGGCCAUCGCUCAACGGAUAAAAGGUACUCUGGGGAUAACAGGCUGAUACCGCCCAAGAGUUCAUAUCGACGGCGGUGUUUGGCACCUCGAUGUCGGCUCAUCUCAUCCUGGGGCUGAAGCAGGUCCCAAGGGUAUGGCUGUUCGCCAUUUAAAGAGGUACGCGAGCUGGGUUUAGAACGUCGUGAGACAGUUCGGUCCCUAUCUACCGUGGGCGCUGGAAAUUUGAGAGGAUCUGCUCCUAGUACGAGAGGACCAGAGUGGACGAACCUCUGGUGUACCGGUUGUGACGCCAGUCGCAUCGCCGGGUAGCUAUGUUCGGAAGGGAUAACCGCUGAAAGCAUCUAAGCGGGAAGCCUACCUCAAGAUAAGAUUUCCCUAGGACUUUAUGUCCUCUAAAGAGCCGUUCGAGACUAGGACGUUGAUAGGUUGGAUGUGGAAGCAUAGUGAUAUGUGAAGCUGACCAAUACUAAUUGCUCGUGAGGCUUGACUAUACAACACCCAAGCAGUUG